RNAcentral lists this ribosomal RNA (254 nucleotides) under uncultured bacterium. RNAcentral describes it as "partial 16S ribosomal RNA". It matches the Rfam family "Bacterial small subunit ribosomal RNA", at positions 524 to 776 of the family's 1533-position model. The record is from RNAcentral.
CACGUAGGGUGCGAGCGUUGUCCGGCAUUAUUGGGCGUAAAGAGCUCGUAGGCGGUGUGUCGCGUCGGCCGUGAAAACCUGGGGCUUAACUCUGGGCUUGCGGUCGAUACGGGCAUCACUGGAGUUCGGCAGGGGAGACUGGAAUUCCUGGUGUAGCGGUGAAAUGCGCAGAUAUCAGGAGGAACACCGGUGGCGAAGGCGGGUUGCUGGGCUGAUACUGACGCUGAGGCGCGAAAGCCAGGGGAGCGAACGGG